UCAACAGGUGGCACUGUAGGGCUCCCCCUGCACUGCACACCUGUUGGUCAUUAGGUAAUUAGUGCUUUAAAAGGACUCCCAGCCCAACCACUCAUGGUCGGGUCAUUGUUGUGUUUUGCUACUGUCACGUAUGUUUGUUGCUGCUUGUUCCGGUCAAGUUUGUUUCGGUUAUGUUUCUGUUAUUGAGUUUUUAGCUUCUGCCAUGGUUUUGUUUGUUACUUUGGAUUCGUUUUGUUCUUGGGACUUUGUUUUGGAUUUAGUUUCCUGUUUUAAUACAAUUCAUCAAGUACAACCUGCUCAUCCCUCCUGCCUGCUUUUUGGGGUCCACCACCACCUUGCAAAAGUGACA
Long non-coding RNA from Hippocampus zosterae (dwarf seahorse), 349 nucleotides. RefSeq lists it as uncharacterized. Lineage: Eukaryota; Metazoa; Chordata; Actinopteri; Syngnathiformes; Syngnathidae. The transcript is spliced from 2 exons. The record is from RefSeq and is a predicted model, not a curated record.